RNAcentral lists this long non-coding RNA (551 nucleotides) under Physcomitrium patens. RNAcentral describes it as "long non-coding RNA (PPAT_LNC013440)". The record is from RNAcentral. Lineage: Eukaryota; Viridiplantae; Streptophyta; Bryopsida; Funariales; Funariaceae.
UCUUCCUUACAGCAAUUCAGUCAUACCAAUAACUACUAUUUCUACCAAUAUAUUCACCCUCAUAAUCUCUAACUGUAAUACUACACCCUCACAGCUUUCAAUACACAAUUAUCCUCAUUCCAAUCACUGGAAUUCUUCACAUAGAACUGCCAUUCACAUUAUGGUGUUUCACACAAACAUAGAUUCAUUCUCUCUGUUGAACUACAAUCAGAUUUCAGCAUUGAAUCUUUCUUCUUUUCAAAUAAUACCAAUCAUAUUUCCAUUUCAUAAUUCAUUUCAUAAUAUUCAGAAACUCUCAAUCCUCUUAUUCAAAGAAAAUAACAAACAAAAGAAAAGAGGUAGUACCAAGCUUACCCCGGCUCACACUAUCACAACGAUGGUCCUCGGCUCAUGACUAUCAUAGUCUGGCCUCUUAAUUAUCUUCUACAACUCCUAUAUACUUUCCUCUGAUUCUCCAUAUUCUAACCAUAAUUCUAUAAUUAACUACUUUUAAGAACUAAAUCACUCAUCCGUCCUCUUGAAUUUCUUAUUACAUGGACUAUUAAUAUAUU